GAUGAACGCUGGCGGCAGGCCUAACACAUGCAAGUCGAGCGGUAACAUUUCUAGCUUGCUAGAAGAUGACGAGCGGCGGACGGGUGAGUAAUACUUGGGGAUCUGCCUGAUGGCGGGGGACAACCACUGGAAACGGUGGCUAAUACCGCAUAAUACCUACGGGUCAAAGUGUGGGACCUUCGGGCCACACGCCAUCAGAUGAACCCAAGCGAGAUUAGCUAGUUGGUGAGGUAAUGGCUCACCAAGGCGACGAUCUCUAGCUGUUCUGAGAGGAUGAUCAGCCACACUGGGACUGAGACACGGCCCAGAUUCCUACGGGAGGCAGCAGUGGGGAAUAUUGGACAAUGGGCGCAAGCUUGAUCCAGCCAUGCCGCGUGUGUGAAGAAGGCCUUCGGGUUGUAAAGCACUUUCAGUGGUGAGGAAGGCGAUGAAGUUAAUAGCUGCAAUGAUUGACGUUAGCCACAGAAGAAGCACCGGCUAACUCCGUGCCAGCAGCCGCGGUAAUACGGAGGGUGCGAGCGUUAAUCGGAAUUACUGGGCGUAAAGCGCACGUAGGCGGCUUGUUAAGCAAGAUGUGAAAGCCCAGGGCUCAACCUUGGAAUUGCAUUUUGAACUGGCAAGCUAGAGUUUUGAAGAGGGUGGUAGAAUUUCCAGUGUAGCGGUGAAAUGCGUAGAUAUUGGAAGGAAUACCAGUGGCGAAGGCGGCCACCUGGUCAAAAACUGACGCUGAGGAGCGAAAGCGUGGGGAGCAAACAGGAUUAGAUACCCUGGUAGUCCACGCCGUAAACGAUGUCAACUAGUUGUUCGUGUCUUUGAGACGUGAGUAACGCAGCUAACGCACUAAGUUGACCGCCUGGGGAGUACGGCCGCAAGGUUAAAACUCAAAUGAAUUGACGGGGGCCCGCACAAGCGGUGGAGCAUGUGGUUUAAUUCGAUGCAACGCGAAGAACCUUACCAUCCCUUGACAUCCAGAGAAUUCUUCAGAGAUGAGGAAGUGCCUUCGGGAACUCUGAGACAGGUGCUGCAUGGCUGUCGUCAGCUCGUGUUGUGAGAUGUUGGGUUAAGUCCCGCAACGAGCGCAACCCUUAUCCUUAGUUGCCAGCACGUAAUGGUGGGAACUCUAGGGAGACUGCCGGUGAUAAACCGGAGGAAAGUGGGGACGACAUCUAGUCUUCAUGGCCCUUACGGGAUGGGCUACACACGUGCUACAAUGGCGCACACAAAGGGCUGCAAGCUAGCGAUAGCAAGCGAAUCUCAAAAAGUGCGUCGUAGUCCGGAUCGGAGUCUGCAACUCGACUCCGUGAAGUCGGAAUCGCUAGUAAUCGUGGAUCAGAAUGCCACGGUGAAUACGUCCCGGGCCUUGUACACACCG
RNAcentral lists this ribosomal RNA (1372 nucleotides) under uncultured Gammaproteobacteria bacterium. RNAcentral's name for it is "bacterial SSU rRNA". It matches the Rfam family "Bacterial small subunit ribosomal RNA", at positions 28 to 1392 of the family's 1533-position model. Lineage: Bacteria; Pseudomonadati; Pseudomonadota; Gammaproteobacteria. The record is from RNAcentral.